RNAcentral lists this ribosomal RNA (954 nucleotides) under uncultured archaeon. RNAcentral's name for it is "bacterial SSU rRNA". It matches the Rfam family "Archaeal small subunit ribosomal RNA", at positions 363 to 1329 of the family's 1478-position model. The record is from RNAcentral.
CACGGAGCUACGGGGUUCCGAGUGCUGUCGCUGAAGAUAGCUUUUCUCCGGUCUAAGGCGCCGGUCGAAUAAGGGGAGGGCAAGCCUGGUGUCAGCCGCCGCGGUAAUACCAGCUCCCCGAGUGGUGGGGGUAAUUAUUGGGCCUAAAGCGUCCGUAGCUGGCUUAGCAAGUCUCUUGUUAAAUCCAACGAUCCAAUCGUUGGACUGCAGGAGAUACUGUUAGGCUAGGGGGCGGAAGAAGCCGACGGUACUCCUGAGGUAGGGGUGAAAUCCUAUAAUCCCAGGAGGACCACCAGUGGCGAAGGCGGUCGGCUAGAACGCGCUCGACGGUGAGGGACGAAAGCUGGGGGAGCGAUCCGGAUUAGAUACCCGGGUAGUCCCAGCUGUAAACUAUGCAGGCUAGGUGUUGGCGUGACCACGAGUCACGCCAGUGCCGCAGGGAAGCUGUUAAGCCUGCCGCCUGGGGAGUACGGUCGCAAGACUGAAACUUAAAGGAAUUGGCGGGGGAGCACCACAAGGGGUGAAGCUUGCGGUUCAAUUGGAGUCAACACCGGGAACCUUACCGGGGAAGACAGCAGGUUGAAGGCCAGAUUAAAGGUCUUGCCAGACAAGCUGAGAGGAGGUGCAUGGCCGUCGCCAGUUCGUGCCGUGAGGUGUCCUGUUAAGUCAGGCAACGAUUCGAGACCCAACGCCUCUUGUUGCCAAGCGUAACUUCGGAAGAAGACCGGGCACACUAGAGGGACGCCGCCGAUAAGCGGAGGAAGGAGUGGGCCACGGCAGGUCAGUAUGCCCCGAAUUCCCCUGGGCUACACGCGAGCUGCAAUGGUAGGGACAAUGGGUUCCGACCUCGAAAGGGGAAGGUAAUCUCUAAACCCUACCUCAGUCGGGAUCGAGGGCUAAACUCGCCCUCGGACAUGAAUCCCUAUAACCGCGUGCAGCGCGCUGUAUCGCUCC